Molecule: microRNA, 22 nt
Filed under: Medicago truncatula (barrel medic)
Lineage: Eukaryota; Viridiplantae; Streptophyta; Magnoliopsida; Fabales; Fabaceae
Description: mtr-miR5227
Source: miRBase by way of RNAcentral
UGAAGAGAAGAAGAUUGAUGAA